This is a non-coding RNA of Acanthosepion pharaonis, 112 nucleotides long. NCBI's taxonomy places the organism in Eukaryota, Metazoa, Mollusca, Cephalopoda, Sepiida, Sepiidae. The record is from the annotation of a GenBank genome assembly.
UUACGGCCAUAUCACGUUGUAACACCGGUUCUCGUCGAUCAGCGAAGUUAAGUAACAUCAAGCCUGAUCAGUACCUAGAUGGGUGACCAGUUGGAAAUACAAGAUGAUGUAA